UAUUGAUUAACUAGGUCGAUUUCCAAAGUAGCAAAGAGCAUGAAGUGCAAAAGAACUGCUAGUUCAUUUGAAGCAGAAUGGCUUGAUGAAACAGUCGAAACAGCUACACCGAAAGCUCAUAAGAGCCGCAUUUCAUGAUGGAUUAGAUCUCCUACCCCUGCCAUUAACUCCAAACCACAAGCAAAACCCUAGAUUCACACUUCAAAUCUUCUCCUAGCUCACUGAGAGCCACCAUACCUGUGGCAGCCGGAACAGAGAGCAACAGUGGGUUUGAAAGAUGCACGUGGAUCUCAGCAUCGGGGUCGGUGUCCAACCAGCAGACUGAAGCUCCCAAGAAGACAGGGAAAAAGUGCUUGGAAGAGGACCAUGGAAAAGACCUUUGCUCAGCAGGCAAAUGAUUGUGUGUGGAAGAGGAAGGCAUCUGGAGAUACAGUUGAAUGCCCACAGUUCCCUGUUUCUCUGCUCCUGGAAUGAGUCAUCGCCAGAGAUCACAGUGACCGAGCCUGCCCUCCUCCACACCUGGUUUGAGUCAGUCCCACGACAGAGAGAUCCUCCUGCUGUUCCUCCACCCUUGGAUCCUGUCCUGCCCGGGAACAAGGUAGCACGUGAGCUGGUGGGGACAGCGUAAGCGGCGUGCAAGGAAGCGGAAGUGAGGUGAGCGGGCAGGAGUCGGUGCCAGGAAAAAAAGCAAAGCCCUAGCUGGCCGGCUGUCCCGUCCAUUCUGCUCUCAGAUGGACAUUAAAUUGGACUACAUCUGUGGCAACGAAAUACUCGGCAGGAGUACAGAAACAGACGGAAUCUCAGACGCCGCCAUUCAGCUGUUUACUUAUGUAACAGAUUUCCCCCCAAGCCGUCGGACUACCAACCUACUGCCCUCUGCUGUGCCUAUUGUCUUGUUUAUUAUUUAUUGUAAUGCCUGCACAGUUCUGUGUACUUUAUGCAGUCCUGGGUAGGUCUGUAGUCUGGUUAGUUUUUGUGUUGGUUUAUGUAAUUCAGUGUAGUUUUUGUAUUGUUUAUGUAGCACCAUGGUCCUGAAAAACGUUUAAUUUUUUCUGUGUACUUUAUGGUCGAAACGACAAUAAAAAGCAACUUGAC
This is a long non-coding RNA of Hypanus sabinus (Atlantic stingray), 1095 nucleotides long. RefSeq lists it as uncharacterized. The transcript is spliced from 4 exons. The record is from RefSeq and is a predicted model, not a curated record. NCBI's taxonomy places the organism in Eukaryota, Metazoa, Chordata, Chondrichthyes, Myliobatiformes, Dasyatidae.